This 471-nucleotide ribosomal RNA is filed under the name Actinomyces sp. 'ARUP UnID 42'. Its description in RNAcentral is "partial 16S ribosomal RNA". It matches the Rfam family "Bacterial small subunit ribosomal RNA", at positions 35 to 497 of the family's 1533-position model. Lineage: Bacteria; Bacillati; Actinomycetota; Actinomycetes; Actinomycetales; Actinomycetaceae. The record is from RNAcentral.
MGCUGGCGGCGUGCUUAACACAUGCAAGUCGAACGAAAAUACCAAGCUUGCUUGGUUGAUUAGUGGCGAACGGGUGAGUAACACGUGAGUAACCUGCCCCUUACUUUCCUGGAUAACUGCUCGAAAGGGUAGCUAAUACGGGAUAUUCUGACCAKCCUGCAUGGGUUGGUUUGGAAAGGUUAUUUUUUUCUGGUAAGGGAUGGGCYCSCGGCCUAUCAGCUUGUUGGUGGGGUGAUGGCCUACCAAGGCUUUGACGGGUAGCCGGCCUGAGAGGGUGGACGGUCACACUGGGACUKAGAUACGGSCCAGACUCCUACGGGAGGCAGCAGUGGGGAAUAWUGCACAAUGGGCGCAAGCCUGAUGCAGCGACSCCGCGUGAGGGAUGAAGGCCUUCGGGKUKUWAACCUCYUUYGKCARGGAACAAGGCMCUUCUUUUUGGUGGUUUGAGGGUACCKGAUAAGAAGCGCCGGC